GCCAUAGCCGGGGCAGUGCCUUUCAAAGCUGCUCUCAUGGAGCACUUAGCCCUAAUCCAGCCCUUCAGGGAGGAGGUGCAGAGACUCAUGGCAGAGCACCCCCUACACCUGAUGCCCGGCAUAGGGAGCUGGUAAGUCUCCUACAGGAGCUAAAUGUUCUGGUUUUCCUAACACCUGGUUGCUUUAGGAGUAUUGUAGAGCAUGUUGCUUCAAAGCUCAAUAUCCCAGCAACCAAUGUAUUUGCCAAUAAGCAGAAAUUCUACUUUAACGGUAAG
This 275-nucleotide long non-coding RNA is filed under the name Homo sapiens (human). Its description in RNAcentral is "non-protein coding lnc-ZNF727-11:2". The record is from RNAcentral. Lineage: Eukaryota; Metazoa; Chordata; Mammalia; Primates; Hominidae.